GAGGGUAUAGCUCAGUGGCAGAGUAUGUGUUUAGAAACCACAAGCUCUUGAGUUUGUUCCCUAGUGCCUUUU
Molecule: transfer RNA, 72 nt
Filed under: Neotoma lepida (desert woodrat)
Lineage: Eukaryota; Metazoa; Chordata; Mammalia; Rodentia; Cricetidae
Rfam family: tRNA
About the family: Transfer RNA (tRNA) molecules are approximately 80 nucleotides in length.
Source: Rfam by way of RNAcentral